GUGGUGCAUGGUUGUCGUCAGCUCGUGUCGUGAGAUGUUGGGUUAAGUCCCGCAACGAGCGCAACCCUUGUCUUUAGUUGCCAUCAUUAAGUUGGGCACUCUAGAGAGACUGCCAGGGAUAACCUGGCGGAAGGUGGGGAUGACGUCAAAUCAUCAUGCCCCUUAUGCUUAGGGCUACACACGUGCUACAAUGGGUAGUACAGAGGGUUGC
RNAcentral lists this ribosomal RNA (211 nucleotides) under Clostridioides difficile. Its description in RNAcentral is "partial 16S ribosomal RNA". It matches the Rfam family "Bacterial small subunit ribosomal RNA", at positions 1038 to 1250 of the family's 1533-position model. Lineage: Bacteria; Bacillati; Bacillota; Clostridia; Peptostreptococcales; Peptostreptococcaceae. The record is from RNAcentral.